Molecule: ribosomal RNA, 497 nt
Filed under: uncultured bacterium
Lineage: Bacteria
Description: partial 16S ribosomal RNA
Rfam family: Bacterial small subunit ribosomal RNA
Source: RNAcentral
GAUGAACGCUGGCGGCGUGCCUAAUACAUGCAAGUCGAGCGAACGGACGAGAAGCUUUCUUCUCUGAUGUUAGCGGCGGACGGGUGAGUAACACGUGGAUAACCUACCUAUAAGACUGGGAUAACUUCGGGAAACCGGAGCUAAUACCGGAUAAUAUUUUGAACCGCAUGGUUCAAAAGUGAAAGACGGUCUUGCUGUCACUUAUAGAUGGAUCCGCGCUGCAUUAGCUAGUUGGUAAGGUAACGGCUUACCAAGGCAACGAUGCAUAGCCGACCUGAGAGGGUGAUCGGCCACACUGGAACUGAGACACGGUCCAGACUCCUACGGGAGGCAGCAGUAGGGAAUCUUCCGCAAUGGGCGAAAGCCUGACGGAGCAACGCCGCGUGAGUGAUGAAGGUCUUCGGAUCGUAAAACUCUGUUAUUAGGGAAGAACAGAUGUGUAAGUAACUGUGCACAGCUUGACGGUACCUAAUCAGAAAGCCACGGCUAACUACGUG